Long non-coding RNA from Carassius auratus (goldfish), 1576 nucleotides. RefSeq lists it as uncharacterized. The record is from RefSeq and is a predicted model, not a curated record. The transcript has 3 exons. Lineage: Eukaryota; Metazoa; Chordata; Actinopteri; Cypriniformes; Cyprinidae.
CUAACUGAAGAUAUCAGAUUAGAAGACUGAAACUAACUCGUUUAAAAUUCUUAUAUAUGCAUAAAGCCAUUCUGAGUGUUUUGGGCUGUACAAUACGAUUAUAUCAGGGCAGGAAAACCCCUCGUUGAAUAUCUGGCUUAUUCUUCUUUUGGCCUUGAUCGUUCUCCCAAAAAUCUUCUUUUAACAAUGCAAUUGAGGAAGCGGAGGCACACCAAAAGUGGUUAAAUGUGGUCUGGCUUGCCAGUGCACGGGCUGUGAUGGACUUCCUCUGCAAAGUAUUUCAUUUUGGACACAGUCCCUUUCUAAACACAGCGCACCUGGGACAACAGCUUUGGUUCCAGACCCAGUGUUAAUCAGCAGCAAUGCAUGCCUGCCAGCGGCUCGUAUAUACAAUUAAUAUUGUGCCCUGACUUUUAACAGCCGAUAUUGCGGCUCUUAUGAAAACAGAAUACCGCAGAGUGCCACGACUCCAGCGUUUAGCCGAAGCAGUAUGACAAAAUUUUUACAGAAAUCUUCCUGAUUGCUGAAAGGAUCUCAAAGAAUUUGCAGGGAAAGUGGCAAAGAAAAAUAUUUAAGCAGCCCUAAUGCAUUCUUUCAUGAGCUGUGGUGUGUCCAUUGCCUGGGCAAUAAGACAAAACAUACCCUACAGAAUCUGACGGUUGUCUCUUUGGGAAGACAAGUCAUUUUCACAUGAAGGUAUCCAUGACUAGGCCGUCUUAGUGUUUGACAUUCCAGUAUUGAUUCCACUCUGAGGGUGUGGAGGGGAUUUCCGCCGUAAUCUCCAGUGAAAGAGGUGCGUGCCGUGCGCUAGAAACACACUCACAAGCUAAUUCGAGGCAAAGUAAAGCUCUCAUCUGGGAUUGGUAAGAGUCUCUCCAAGCACCCCAAAGACUUCCAGCUCAUUCUUGAUUGCACAUGGCAGCCUCUGACCUGUACCGAAGGCACCCGCUGCCAUGGAAGAUUGAUGAUUAUCGAUGCAGAAACCCUUUGCUAAUUCAGCGUACAAGGAACCACCUUCUUGGGGGGAUACCCAGCCAUGUUGAAGUGGGAGUUGAAUUAUACACAAAAGUUCUUUUAAGUCAGUGAUCAAUCAGAGUCUCUAGCUGCAACUGCACAUUAUCAAGCGCCAGGUCCUCAGUAUCAUGCCACGCUCGGAGAACUUACAGAGAAUGAUGGGACUGAUCAGACAUAGUGUUGGGAGGCCUUGACCUUUCAAAAGGAAGUUGCGCUUGAUCCAAGUGUUUUCCAGCACCUGCAAAAUGUCAACCUGUUUAGAUUCGAAGCAGAGACACUGAUAGGACCAUCUGGACCUUCACUCAUGACAUCCAGCCACAGUCCGUGUUCACGGCAAGCCCACUCAGAAAAUGGAUCAGCCAAGACCUCAUUUGUUACUUUGUGACUAGCACAAGGUGAAAGAUCCACUCAAAAAAGAAGAAAAAGAAAAGGCAAUUGCUAUCAGGCUUAAUCUUCAGUUGACUGUCUAAAAAACAUUAACACAUUCUUGACUCCUACUCUCAUGUGGUAAAACGCCUUCAGUAAAAGGUUUUUUUUUAUUUUUAUCAAUUGCAUUUCAUUC